Molecule: long non-coding RNA, 1192 nt
Filed under: Oreochromis niloticus (Nile tilapia)
Lineage: Eukaryota; Metazoa; Chordata; Actinopteri; Cichliformes; Cichlidae
Description: lncRNA (ENSONIG00000041484.1)
Source: RNAcentral
AUGUUCAAACAGGUGUUUACCAAUACCGAAUUGAGGCAUUAUAGAACAGACCACUGGGAGGGGGGGGGGGCACCAGGAGGAGACUGGAGACAGGGCACAAAGCAGAUUCACCCCUUUUCUCGGGAAAAUUGUUUUAUGUUGCUUUUGUAUUGUUUAACCAUAUUAAUGCAUAUGAUAUUUAUAGUAUUAAUAUGGUUUACUUCUUUUUUUUUUUACGACCCUGAUUUUUUUGGUGCCCUACCGGCCAUUUGGUGCCCUACGCAGUGUGCGUUAUGUGCGUUUGCGGAGCUACGGCGCUGCUCACUAGCAAUCCAGCAAUUCAUCUCCGAGGAAGUUAUCCCAGAGAGAAGUAAAGCAAGUGUCUCGUCUGACUGUGAGUCCCAGCAGCUCUCAGGUGUUUGAAGGAGACUUUGUGUCUCUGAGCUGUGAGGAGGACGACAGCUCUGCUGGAUGGACUCUGAGGAGAAACACAAGCAAAAAACAGAGGACUCAGUGUGGAGAUGGGUGGGGAGAACCAGCUGGUUCUUCAUGUAACAUCAGUCGCAUCAUCUCGGACAGUGGAGUUUACUGGUGUGAGUCCAGAGAGGGUCCCAUCAGUAACAUGGUUAACCUGACAGUCACUGGUAAGCUGAGUGUGUGGAGUUAGUGUUGAUGAAGCUGUGUGUAAAUGGAUGAAAUGCUGUAGUUUGUCUCUGUGUUGAGGUGGAGCAGUGAUCCUGCAGAGUCCUGUCCUCCCUGUGAUGGAGGGAGAUGACGUCACUCUGCUCUGUAAAACAAAGACCACUCCCUCCAACCUCCCAGCUGCUUUCUAUAAAGAUCUCCGUUAACCAUUACAUAAUAAUUGUAUUCUUACAGGUCAAGAAUUACCUCAUCGGUGUCUUUACCGAAUUUUCAACUACAGACUUAUUUAGAAAGUAAAAAGUAGCAACUCCGAUGUUGAUAAAUCUGAUAUUAAUAAAUCGAUGUUUAAUCCUGAGCGUCUAUGAGAGCAGGUAGAGUGUGGUGCUCUCGUUGUUGGAGAAAAACGUGUUAUUCAAUAAAAAUGAAAAAAGAACAGCCAUGAUUGUUUAAAUAUAUUUUAUUGGUGAAGUGAAAAUGACAGCUCGGAUGAUUUCAUAAAGCCAAGACUUUCCUUGAUUUGGCUCACACUGGUGGAUCUCCAUCUGAACAGCCACAGUGUACAAAAAUGUCC